UGGGGAAUAUUGGACAAUGGGCGCAAGCCUGAUCCAGCAAUACCGCGUGUGUGAAGAAGGCCUGAGGGUUGUAAAGCACUUUCAGCGGGGAGGAAGGGUUAGUAGUUAAUAGCUAUUAACAUUGACGUUACCCGCAGAAGAAGCACCGGCUAACUCUGUGCCAGCAGCCGCGGUAAUACAGAGGGUGCAAGCGUUAAUCGGAAUUACUGGGCGUAAAGCGUGCGUAGGCGGAAUAUUAAGUCAGAUGUGAAAGCCCUGGGCUCAACCUAGGAAUUGCAUAUGAUACUGGUAAUCUAGAGUAUGGCAGAGGACAGUGGAAUUUCUGGUGUAGCGGUGAAAUGCGUAGAUAUCAGAAGGAACACCAGUGGCGAAGGCGACUGUCUGGGCUAAUACUGACGCU
Molecule: ribosomal RNA, 400 nt
Filed under: uncultured bacterium
Lineage: Bacteria
Description: bacterial SSU rRNA
Rfam family: Bacterial small subunit ribosomal RNA
Source: RNAcentral